Molecule: long non-coding RNA, 2655 nt
Filed under: Canis lupus familiaris (dog)
Lineage: Eukaryota; Metazoa; Chordata; Mammalia; Carnivora; Canidae
Description: lncRNA (ENSCAFG00000041777.2)
Source: RNAcentral
GCAUACCAACACACUGAGACAGUGUUACAGUCGACACAUCUGUUCAACCAAGGCAAAAGCAGCAAUUCAGAGACAUACCUAACUAAAGGAAACUGCAUUUUUAUUAUCCCCCUAGAACCCAGCUGGCAGAGGGGUCUGGGGAAUGCACUAUUCUGAAUCCCCACCUCUGCACCCUACAGAAAAAGAGGAGAGUGAGUUUAAGAAUAAGAAACACUUACUUAAAAUGCAAACCAACUUGCCACAGUCCUGACCUACUCGCUCCAAUUUCUGAAUGUCAAACACUUAGAGCAAUUGUUGGCUGUCAGAGUAUGAAGUCUGUGGAAGCAGAGAAACUGGACAUUUGGCAUUUCAGCAUUCUGAAAGGCAGCAGCAACCAGGCAGCCAGAGACAAAUGUGGAAACCACAGGAGAGAACAAGAAGAACAGGACAACCUCCUCCAACUGAUAGAAAGUGACUCAGCUGGAAGAGACAUUGCAAACAUCAAGAGAUAGAGAGGUCAGUCCAUCUAAAACAUCAGUAUGAAAGAAGCUGAAGUAGCAGAAACUGACAUAGGAGAAGCAGACAGACCCACACCAUAGCAUGGAGUAUGGACUCUAUUCUAUGUAAAAUAGGACUCUAUUCUAUGUACAAUUUUUUUUGAACACCAAUAAAAAAUAAAUUUAUUAUAAAAAACACUUUUGAAUAAAUAACAACAAAAAGAAUCACCAAAUUACAAAGUCAUUGCAACAAAUACACCUAAAGAAACACAGCGGAACACUCCCAAUGAAAAAUGACCAAAGUGAAAAGAAAUAAACCACACAACUCUAAUUAAAACAAUUAUAAAAAUAAAGAAAAAAAUUAAAAUGACUUUCCAGGGAGGUGAAGCAGGACGCUAGUGCCGGGCGGCCAGAGGUGGCCAGAGAUCCACACCCUCGAGCCAUAAUCGUGAGCGAUUGUACGAGGGCCACGAAGGGGUCGGCCAGAGACCCCCGGAAAUGUAAGAAUUGUAAGCAGGAAAGAUAAAUAAUUCAUUUGCUAUUUAAAAUACCAUGCUGGUUGCCUUGUGGAAAAUGGAUGAGGGGAGGGCUAAAGCAAAAACAGAAAGAUGAUUUAGGAGGUUCUUGAAGUGAAAAAUGAUGGAGACUUAGCUAAACAUAGCAGUAACAGAGAUUGAAAGGUGUGAAGAGAUCUGUAGCAUGUGACUGGAGAAAGUACAGAUAGGAGCUUUUGAUGGUGGAUGUGGAUGGUGAAUAAAGCAUGACUCCAGGUUUCUAGUUGGAGUGACUCUGGACAGCAGAUGAGAAGAGGAGCCAACCAGGAAGAGGUUUCAAGUACGCAAAUGGAUAUGUAGAUCUGGAGCUCAGAGAGAUCUAGCUGACGAUGUAAAAUAUGGGAGUUAUCAACACAUAGAUGGUAUUUAAAAUCACAGAAAUAAUAAGAUAACCUAGAGCACCUGGGUGGCUCAGUCAGUUAAGUGUCAGACUCUUGGUUUCAGCUCAGGUUGUGAUCUCAAGGUUGUGAGAUGGAGCCUGCAUUAGGCUUCCUGCUCAGCGGGGAAUCUGAUUCUCUCCCUCUUCCUCUGCCCCUCCCCCACUUGCUCAGUCUCUCUCUCUCUCUCCCUCUCUCAAAUAAAUAAAUAAAUCUUAAAAAAAAAAAGAAAUAAGAUAAACUAGAGAGAAAGUUUAGAGAAAGGAAUGUGAGAGCUCAAAACUUACUCUUGAAGAACUGCAACACUUACAGUUAAGGACAAAGUACAAAGGAAGCCAGUAAGGAAAAAGGAGAGCCAGGAGGGUGUUUGAAAAAGGAAGAAGGGGCCAACUGUGUUAAUGGUGUUAAAGAAGUGGAACAAGAUGAGAGCAAAGUGUCCAUCAGCAUCAGGGAGAUGGCUGGUGACCUUGAUAAAAGCAGUAUCUGUAGAAUAGUAGAACUAGCAGCAGGUGAAGUGGUUUUAGGAGUGGAUAAAAGGUGAGAACGUGAAGUGAGGGAUGUAAAAUACUUGCAUGCAGAAAUGGAGAAAAGAAAGGGGAUAGCGGCUAGAAGGGAUGUGAGAUGUGAGGCCAGGAAAGGGUUUUCUUCCUUUUUUUUUUUUUUUUUUUGCUUGUUUGUUUCCUUAAGAUGGACACGUACAUGCCAUAAAAACUAAAAUUCAGUGAUUAAAGCACACUUGACAUGCUCCUGCUCUAGGCCAAUGGUUUUCAAACCACUUUCAACAGAAGGCUGGAUUUCUGGGACAGUGCCUUCCUUAUGUCUGCUCCAAGAAGCAAGGCAGUCCUCCCUCCCUAACAAUAAAAGUAAUGCAAAUUUAAUUCAUUUUAUAUCUGGGGAUUUAGAAUAAGAUGUCAUUUGAAAAAUCACUGAUCUAAGGAGAGCAUAGGGCAGCCAAAAUAUUUACCAUUUUGGCCUAUUAAUAACAGAAUACCUGAUGAAUCUGUAGAUGGUAUAUACUCUUAAUUAUGUCACAAAAUAGUUCUUCAGGCAAAACAUGAUGAUAAAUUGUAGCUGUAGCAAAGUCUCAGGAUGCUAAACAAGUUUGUCAUUGUUUCACAGUCUCUUAGCAAUGAUAAAUUAAGUAGCUUCUUUUUACUAAACUCUUUAGGAACUUCAGAAUACUCAAACCUUGAUUUUCAAUAAUUUUAAUUAAUAUAUCCCACAGUCAAUAGGUUUAAUAAACUUGAG